CAGCACCUCAAGUGGUCAGGAUGAUUAUUGGGCCUAAAGCAUCCGUAGCCGGCGCUGUAAGUUUUCGGUUAAAUCUGUACGCUCAACGUACAGGCUGCCGGGAAUACUGCAGCGCUAGGGAGUGGGAGAGGUAGACAAUACUCGGUAGGAAGGGGUAAAAUCCUUUGAUCUAUUGAUGACCACCUGUGGCGAAGGCGGUCUACCAGAACACGUCCGACGGUGAGGGAUGAAAGCUGGGGGAGCAAACCGGAUUAGAUACCCGCGUAGUCC
Molecule: ribosomal RNA, 270 nt
Filed under: uncultured archaeon
Lineage: Archaea
Description: partial 16S ribosomal RNA
Rfam family: Archaeal small subunit ribosomal RNA
Source: RNAcentral